Molecule: non-coding RNA, 114 nt
Filed under: Ctenophora environmental sample
Lineage: Eukaryota; Metazoa; Ctenophora
Source: RNAcentral
CAAUGAUUUUUUUUGUCAUGGGACCACUGCCAUCGAGUCGAGUCGACGACACCAAGUUUUAUGGCUCAUCGUGCAUUAUUGUUCCGAAUGGAAUGGGCACAUCGUUGUUGUACU